GACAGAGGGUGCAAACGUUGCUCGGAAUCACUGGGCGUAAAGGGCGUGUAGGCGGGAAGGAAAGUCAGAUGUGAAAUCCCUGGGCUCAACCCAGGAACUGCAUUUGAAACUCCCUUUCUUAAGUGUCGAAGAGGAAAGUGGAAUUCCUGGUGUAGAGGUGAAAUUCGUAGAUAUCAGGAGGAACACCAGUGGCGAAGGCGGCUUUCUGGACGACAACUGACGCUAAGACGCGAAAGCGUGGGGAGCAAACAGG
Molecule: ribosomal RNA, 253 nt
Filed under: uncultured bacterium
Lineage: Bacteria
Description: partial 16S ribosomal RNA
Rfam family: Bacterial small subunit ribosomal RNA
Source: RNAcentral